Molecule: ribosomal RNA, 747 nt
Filed under: Halomonas sp. LZX17
Lineage: Bacteria; Pseudomonadati; Pseudomonadota; Gammaproteobacteria; Oceanospirillales; Halomonadaceae
Description: bacterial SSU rRNA
Rfam family: Bacterial small subunit ribosomal RNA
Source: RNAcentral
GGCCUAACACAUGCAAGUCGAGCGGUAACAGAUCCAGCUUGCUGGAUGCUGACGAGCGGCGGACGGGUGAGUAAUGCAUAGGAAUCUGCCCGGUAGUGGGGGAUAACCUGGGGAAACCCAGGCUAAUACCGCAUACGUCCUACGGGAGAAAGGGGGCUUCGGCUCCCGCUAUCGGAUGAGCCUAUGUCGGAUUAGCUAGUUGGUGAGGUAACGGCUCACCAAGGCCACGAUCCGUAGCUGGUCUGAGAGGAUGAUCAGCCACAUCGGGACUGAGACACGGCCCGAACUCCUACGGGAGGCAGCAGUGGGGAAUAUUGGACAAUGGGGGGAACCCUGAUCCAGCCAUGCCGCGUGUGUGAAGAAGGCCCUCGGGUUGUAAAGCACUUUCAGCGAGGAAGAACGCCUAGCGGUUAAUACCCGCUAGGAAAGACAUCACUCGCAGAAGAAGCACCGGCUAACUCCGUGCCAGCAGCCGCGGUAAUACGGAGGGUGCAAGCGUUAAUCGGAAUUACUGGGCGUAAAGCGCGCGUAGGUGGCUUGAUAAGCCGGUUGUGAAAGCCCCGGGCUCAACCUGGGAACGGCAUCCGGAACUGUCAAGCUAGAGUGCAGGANAGGAAAGUAGAAUUCCCGGUGUANCGGUGAAAUGCGUAAAAAUCGGGAGGAAUACCAGUGGCCGAAAGCGGCUUUCUGGAAUGGACCCUGACCCUGAGGUGCGAAAGCGUGGGUACAAACAGGAUUAAAUACCCC